This 205-nucleotide ribosomal RNA is filed under the name Geotrichum candidum. RNAcentral describes it as "partial 26S ribosomal RNA". It matches the Rfam family "Eukaryotic large subunit ribosomal RNA", at positions 78 to 299 of the family's 3401-position model. Lineage: Eukaryota; Fungi; Ascomycota; Dipodascomycetes; Dipodascales; Dipodascaceae. The record is from RNAcentral.
CCUUAGUACGGCGAGUGAAGCGGCAAAAGCUCAAAUUUGAAAUCGGCCCCCAGGUCGAGUUGUAAUUUGUAGAUUGUAUCUUGAGAGCGGAUUAAAGUCUGUUGGAACACAGCGCCUUAGAGGGUGACAGCCCCGUAAAAUCUAUUCUCAUUGUAAGAUACUUUCGAAGAGUCAAUCGUUUUGGGAAUACGAGUUGUUUGGGAAU